Molecule: long non-coding RNA, 368 nt
Organism: Gossypium arboreum
Lineage: Eukaryota; Viridiplantae; Streptophyta; Magnoliopsida; Malvales; Malvaceae
Exons: 2
Source: RefSeq, a predicted model, not a curated record
AAGAAUUAAAUGGAUGAAAUAUGAAGUUUUAUUAAAAGAAAAAGGGGUGAAAAGAACAAAGUUUUGUCCAUCUUUGUUCAUCAUAGCUGAAAGUUAGAGAAGAGAAAGGAGAGGAGAAAGCUCUUGAGUAUUCGGUCAUUAGGAGGAGGAAAAUUGAAGGAAAUCCCCAACCAUAGUGGGCUUGGAGCUAUGAGGGAAUUCGGAGUGGCCACCCGUUCUGAAAAUUUGAUUUUCUUCUGGUGAACUGGACAUCCUUUUAAUUACGUUUGAGGUUUUGGGCUUUUAAAUGUAAUAAGGCCGCUUAUUUAUUUUUGAUGGUUUUUAAUAUGUAUUACUAAGAUAGGUAAUACUUAUUUUAACUGUUGAAA